AACGAACGCUGGCGGCAGGCCUAAUACAUGCAAGUCGAACGCCUGUAGCAAUACAGGAGUGGCGCACGGGUGAAUAACACGUGGGAAUAUGCCUUUUGGUACGGGACAACGUCUGGAAACGGACGCUAAUACCGUAUGGUCCCUUCGGGGUAAAGAUUUAUCGCCAAAAGAUUAGCCCGCGUCUGAUUAGCUAGUUGGUGAGGUAACGGCUCACCAAGGCGGCAACCAGUAGCUGGUCUGAGAGGACGAUCAGCCACACUGGGACUGAGACACGGCCCAGACUCCUACGGGAGGCAGCAGUAGGGAAUAUUGGACAAUGGGCGCAAGCCUGAUCCAGCCAUGCCGCGUGAGUGAUGAAGGCCUUCGGGUUGUAAAGCUCUUUAGUCCGCGAAUAAAAUGACUGUAGCGGAAGAAUAAGCCCCGGCUAACUUCGUGCCAGCAGCCGCCGUAA
This 451-nucleotide ribosomal RNA is filed under the name uncultured bacterium. RNAcentral's name for it is "partial 16S ribosomal RNA". It matches the Rfam family "Bacterial small subunit ribosomal RNA", at positions 29 to 523 of the family's 1533-position model. The record is from RNAcentral.